UACGUAGGGGGCUAGCGUUGUCCGGAAUCAUUGGGCGUAAAGAGCGUGUAGGCGGUCCGGUAAGUCCGUUGUGAAAGUCAAGGGCUCAACCCUUGAAUGCCGGCGGAUACUGUCGGGCUAGAGUCCGGAAGAGGCAAGUGGAAUUCCCGGUGUAGCGGUGAAAUGCGCAGAUAUCGGGAGGAACACCUGCGGCGAAGGCGGGUUGCUGGGCUGAUACUGACGCUGAGGCGCGAAAGCCAGGGGAGCGAACGGG
Molecule: ribosomal RNA, 253 nt
Filed under: uncultured bacterium
Lineage: Bacteria
Description: partial 16S ribosomal RNA
Rfam family: Bacterial small subunit ribosomal RNA
Source: RNAcentral